Molecule: ribosomal RNA, 893 nt
Filed under: uncultured bacterium
Lineage: Bacteria
Description: bacterial SSU rRNA
Rfam family: Bacterial small subunit ribosomal RNA
Source: RNAcentral
AUGCAAGUAGAACGCUGAAGGAGGAGCUUGCUCUUCUGGAUGAGUUGCGAACGGGUGAGUAACGCGUAGGUAACCUGCCUGGUAGCGGGGGAUAACUAUUGGAAACGAUAGCUAAUACCGCAUAACAGUAGAUGUUGCAUGACAUUUGCUUAAAAGGUGCAAUUGCAUCACUACCAGAUGGACCUGCGUUGUAUUAGCUAGUUGGGGGGGUAACGGCUCACCAAGGCGACGAUACAUAGCCGACCUGAGAGGGUGAUCGGCCACACUGGGACUGAGACACGGCCCAAACUCCUACGGGAGGCAGCAGUAGGGAAUCUUCGGCAAUGGACGGAAGUCUGACCGAGCAACGCCGCGUGAGUGAAGAAGGUUUUCGGAUCGUAAAGCUCUGUUGUAAGAGAAGAACGAGUGUGAGAGUGGAAAGUUCACACUGUGACGGUAUCUUACCAGAAAGGGACGGCUAACUACGUGCCAGCAGCCGCGGUAAUACGUAGGUCCCGAGCGUUGUCCGGAUUUAUUGGGCGUAAAGCGAGCGCAGGCGGUUAGAUAAGUCUGAAGUUAAAGGCUGUGGCUUAACCAUAGUACGCUUUGGAAACUGUUUAACUUGAGUGCAAGAGGGGAGAGUGGAAUUCCAUGUGUAGCGGUGAAAUGCGUAGAUAUAUGGAGGAACACCGGUGGCGAAAGCGGCUCUCUGGCUUGUAACUGACGCUGAGGCUCGAAAGCGUGGGGAGCAAACAGGAUUAGAUACCCUGGUAGUCCACGCCGUAAACGAUGAGUGCUAGGUGUUAGACCCUUUCCGGGGUUUAGUGCCGUAGCUAACGCAUUAAGCACUCCGCCUGGGGAGUACGACCGCAAGGUUGAAACUCAAAGGAAUUGACGGGGGCCCGCACAAGCGG